Molecule: transfer RNA, 72 nt
Filed under: Streptomyces sp. WAC06614
Lineage: Bacteria; Bacillati; Actinomycetota; Actinomycetes; Kitasatosporales; Streptomycetaceae
Rfam family: tRNA
About the family: Transfer RNA (tRNA) molecules are approximately 80 nucleotides in length. Their secondary structure includes four short double-helical elements and three loops (D, anti-codon, and T loops). Further hydrogen bonds mediate the characteristic L-shaped molecular structure. tRNAs have two regions of fundamental functional importance: the anti-codon, which is responsible for specific mRNA codon recognition, and the 3' end, to which the tRNAs corresponding amino acid is attached (by aminoacyl-tRNA synthetases). tRNAs cope with the degeneracy of the genetic code in two manners: having more than one tRNA (with a specific anti-codon) for a particular amino acid; and 'wobble' base-pairing, i.e. permitting non-standard base-pairing at the 3rd anti-codon position.
Source: Rfam by way of RNAcentral
CGGCGUGUAGCUCAGCAGAAGAGCACCGGACUCGGGAUCCGGAGGGCGCAGGGGCAGAACCUGCCGUGCCGG